Molecule: ribosomal RNA, 594 nt
Filed under: Orchestia mediterranea
Lineage: Eukaryota; Metazoa; Arthropoda; Malacostraca; Amphipoda; Talitridae
Also listed under: 1 other name
Description: bacterial SSU rRNA
Rfam family: Eukaryotic small subunit ribosomal RNA
Source: RNAcentral
AUCUACUCAGAGUGCUUGGGUGGAGGUUUGUGUCCGGGGCCGUGGGCGUUCGUUUCGUGCGUGCGUUCUCGUGCUUUGGCGCUUCCUCUAUUGCUCACCUCUGUGCUCUUACUUGGAGGAGGUGACUUCUGUGUCACCUUGAGUAAAUCAUGGUGCUCACAGCAGUCGUGCGGGCCCUGUGCCCUGUGAACAGUCUAUGCGGACUGAAUUGGUUUUGCAAGGCAUGACGAAACAUGACGUCGCUGCUGGUCGCGAGUGUGAGGGCGCAGCUCUCGUGGUUGCGUCGAGCGGUUUGCCAGUAGUGACGUAAUGAUCAAUGGAGACGGUAGCUGGCAUUGGUAUUGCGCGGCGAGAGGUGAAAUUCUGCGACCCCCGCAAGACCUCCUAAAGCGAAGGCGUCUGCCAAGGACGUGUUCACCAAUCAUGAACGAAAGUCAGAGGAUCGAAGGCGAUCAGAUACCGCCCUAGUUCUGACCCUAAACGAUGCCAACCAUCAAUCCGCGUGAGCACCCUAUCUAACGGGCUCGGCGGGCAGCUCCCUUCUUCCGGGAAACCAGAGUUUUUGGGUUCCGGGGGGAGUCUGGUUGCAAAGCU